CUUCGGGACAGAGGAGACAGGUGGUGCAUGGUUGUCGUCAGCUCGUGUCGUGAGAUGUUGGGUUAAGUCCCGCAACGAGCGCAACCCUUACCUUCAGUAGCCAGCGAGUAAAGUCGGGCACUCUGGAGGGACUGCCAGGGAUAACCUGGAGGAAGGUGGGGAUGACGUCAAAUCAUCAUGCCCCUUAUGAUUUGGGCUACACACGUGCUACAAUGGCGUAAACAAAGGGAAGCGAAGCCGUGAGGUGAAGCAAAUCCCAAAAAUAACGUCUCAGUUCGGAUUGUAGUCUGCAACUCGACUACAUGAAGCUGGAAUCGCUAGUAAUCGCGAAUCAGAAUGUCGCGGUGAAUACGUUCCCGGGUCUUGUACACACCGCCCGUCACACCAUGGGAGUUGGUAACGCCCGAAGUCAGUGACUCAACCGAAAGGGGAGAGCUGCCGAAGGCGGGACUGAUAACUGGGGUGAAGUCGUAACAAGGUAGCCGUAUCGGAAGGUGCGGUUGGAUCACCUC
This 512-nucleotide ribosomal RNA is filed under the name uncultured bacterium. Its description in RNAcentral is "bacterial SSU rRNA". It matches the Rfam family "Bacterial small subunit ribosomal RNA", at positions 1018 to 1529 of the family's 1533-position model. The record is from RNAcentral.